GAAAAUUAUAUUGUAUAACUAGAAAUUAAAAUUGGAUAACCAGACAUCAAAAUCGGAUAAUCAAAAAUUCAAACUAGAUAACCAGACCACCGACCCUGGCACAAAGACGUUGGCCCGGCGCAUAACCUGAAUAUGGACCUGCGUAACCAAUUAUCCAAUUUACAUAAGCAAAAAAACUAUCUUAACAUAAAUCUGAGUAACCAGAAAUUAAAAAUGGAUAACUAGACAACUGA
Molecule: long non-coding RNA, 233 nt
Filed under: Elaeis guineensis (African oil palm)
Lineage: Eukaryota; Viridiplantae; Streptophyta; Magnoliopsida; Arecales; Arecaceae
Description: long non-coding RNA (EGUI_LNC011611)
Source: RNAcentral